Molecule: ribosomal RNA, 301 nt
Filed under: uncultured bacterium
Lineage: Bacteria
Description: partial 16S ribosomal RNA
Rfam family: Bacterial small subunit ribosomal RNA
Source: RNAcentral
CAGCAGCCGCGGGAAUACGUAGGGUGCAAGCGUUAAUCGGAAUUACUGGGCGUAAAGCGUGCGCAGGCGGUUUUGUAAGACAGAGGUGAAAUCCCCGGGCUCAACCUGGGAACUGCAUUUGUGACUGUAGAGCUGGAGUGCGGCAGAGGGGGAUGGAAUUCCGCGUGUAGCAGUGAAAUGCGUAGAUAUGCGGAGGAACACCGAUGGCGAAGGCAAUCCCCUGGGCCUGCACUGACGCUCAUGCACGAAAGCGUGGGGAGCAAACAGGAUUAGAUACCCCCGUAGUCCCUGUCUCUUAUAC